This 2443-nucleotide long non-coding RNA is filed under the name Callithrix jacchus (white-tufted-ear marmoset). RNAcentral's name for it is "lncRNA (ENSCJAG00000080591.1)". The stretch from base 2022 to 2138 matches the Rfam family "Metazoan signal recognition particle RNA". The record is from RNAcentral. Lineage: Eukaryota; Metazoa; Chordata; Mammalia; Primates; Cebidae.
AUGAAGCAGUGGCAGAGACCAUGCAGUCAGCCCCAGGAAUUCAGUACUCUAACACCCAGCUACCAGCUGUCAGCGCCUGCACCCCAGGAGCUGUCCAGAGGGAAGACAAAGGCGGCAGAUGGGAGAAAAAAAGGACACUUACUCAAAGUGCCACUUCCUGCUAACCACAAGACAAGGAGCUUCGGAGAGAAGAGAAAUCACCAAGGGCAUGUGGUAGGUAUGUGGACAGCCUGCUUUGAACCGGCCCUGCCUGGACUCACCCUGAGCCAGGCUCUCCCCUCCCUGCGUAGUCCAUCAGUGAGAGUGUUCAUACUUGCUCCUUCCCAGGGAGGAAACACCAAGGGACUGCAGCCCUCCCCUCUGCUGACUUUCCAACUCCCUCUGGGGAGGAUCAGAGCCAAUUCAUCAAGUGCCCCCCCAGCCCUUCCCUCUUGCCUCCUGUCCUCACCAGCUCAGAAGGUCCCUCAGGAGCAGCACUGCAUCCUCCCACCUCCUCAGCCCUCAGGGACCUCAGCCUACUAACCUAUCCCUCCUGGGCCUGAGUGAGCUGAGCUCUCUUCUGGCCUUCCUAUCAGCUCAAAUGCAGCCAACUCGCCCUCAUCAGAAAGCACACACAUAAAGUAAAAUUUAAAAAUUUCUGCUCCUCUCUCUCUCUCACUUACAUACACACCCCCACACGUGCCCACGCACACACACACCCACAAGUAAGAGCCAAAUUAUAAACUGGGGAAAGAUCUUUGCCACACAGAGACCCGACAAGGGUCAAAACCUUAUUGAUGAGCUCAAACCAAUCAAUAAGCAACAUACAAAGAGCCUGGAUGCUCAUACUCUGACCCAGGGAUUUCUUUUGUCUUUCUUUAUUUUUUUUUAAAUAAAGACGGGGUUUCACCAUGUUGGUCAGGCUGCUCUUGAACUCCCAACCUCAGGUGAUCCGCCCGCCUUGGCCUCCACAGUGCUUGGAUUACAGGCGUGAGCCACCACACCCGGCCCGACCCAGGGAUUUCCUUUCUAGGAAAUCCCAAGAAAUAUCUAGCUGGGUAUACAAAUAUACAGCCAUUCUAAACGUCCAUAUGCACUGAUUACCAGGUUAAUUCCUUCCCAGGAAAUAACUGGCAAUGUACAACUGUAUGUAUAAAUUCAAUGUAACAUUAUCUAAAAGAGCCAAAUAUAUUUUUUUAAAAGUAAAAAGAGAUCCAAGAAUUCAACACGAUAUAGCAAAAUGCAAGCAUUGAAAAGAUAAAAAAUGUUUGAGAGAUGAGGAAUGCUCAUGAAAUUAUACUAAUGGAAAAAUAUUUUAUAUAGACAAGAUAUUCAAAUAUGGAAAAAUGUGUUUUUAUUUUAUUAAGUUUUAUUUUUUAUUUAUUUUGGAGGUGGAGUCUUGCUGUCACCCAGGCUGGAGUGCAGUGGCACCAUCUCAGCUCACUGCAACCUCCACCUCUUAGAUUCAAGCCAUUAUCCUGCCUCAGCCUCCCCAGUAGCUGGGAUUACAGGCACCUGCCACCACGUCAGGUUAAUUUUUUGUAUUUUUGGGGUGAAAGGAUUUUACCAUAUUGGCUAGGCUGGUCUCAAACUCCUGACUUCAAGUGAUUUGCCCACCUCAGCCUCCCAAAGUGCUGGGAUUACAUGCGUGAGCCACGUUGCCCCGCUGGAAAAACAUGUUUUUAAAAGUCUGGCAAAAAAAGGCAAAUGUUAAUAGUCAUCCACAAGUAUGCAAACAGGAAUGGUUUUUCCUACUUCUUUUAGCUAAUUCAUUCAAACAACAUUCAGGAAGCACCUGCCAGGUGCCAGGCCUGACACUGGGCGUUGAGAUCUGGACAAGACUCCUUCCCUCCAGGAGCUUCCAAUCUGAAGGGAAGGAUGCAGUGAGCCAAUGAAAAUGCAGGGUGGCCGGGCGCGGUGGCUCAUGCCUGUAAUCCCAGCAGUUUGGGAGGCUGAGGCAGGUGGAUCACCUGAGGUCAGGAGUUCGAGACCAGCCUGGCCAACAUGGCAAAACCCCAUCUCUACUAAAAAUACAAAAACUGGCUGGGUGUGGUGGCUCACGCCUGUAAUCCCAGCACUUUGGGAGGCUGAGGUGGGUGGAUCACCUGAGGUCAGGAAUUCAAGACCAUCCUGGUCAACAUGGUGAAACCCCGUCUCUACUAAAAAUACAAAAAAAUUAGCUGGGCAUGGUGGCGCGCACCUGUAUUCCCAGCUACUUAGGAUGCUGAGGCAGGAGAAUUGCCUGAACCCAGGAGGUGGAGGUUGCAGUGAGCCAAGAUCGCGCCACUGCACUCCAGUCUGGGUAACAAGAGUGAAACUCCGUCUCAAAAAAAAAAAAAUUAGCUGGGCAUGGUGGUAUGUGCUUGUAAUCCCAGCAGGGCUAAGGCAGGAGGAUUGCUUGAACCUGGGAGGCGAAGGUGUGAGCUGAAAUUGUGCCAAUGCACUACAGCCUGGGCAACAGAGU